GGUUAAGCGACUAAGCGUACACGGUGGAUGCCCUGGCAGUCAGAGGCGAUGAAGGACGUGCUAAUCUGCGAAAAGCGUCGGUAAGGUGAUAUGAACCGUUAUAGCCGGCGAUGUCCGAAUGGGGAAACCCAGUGCAAUUCGUUGCACUAUCGUUUGAUGAAUACAUAGUCAAACGAGGCGAACCGGGGGAACUGAAACAUCUAAGUACCCCGAGGAAAAGAAAUCAACCGAGAUUCCCCCAGUAGCGGCGAGCGAACGGGGAGCAGCCCGGAGUCUGAAUCAGCUUGUGUGUUAGUGGAAGCGUCUGGAAAGUCGCAGGGUACAGGGUGAUACUCCCGUACACUAAAACGCACAAUUGUGAGCUCGAUGAGUAGGGCGGGACACGUGGUAUCCUGUCUGAAUAUGGGGGGACCAUCCUCCAAGGCUAAAUACUCCUGACUGACCGAUAGUGAACCAGUACCGUGAGGGAAAGGCGAAAAGAACCCCGGCGAGGGGAGUGAAAAAGAACCUGAAACCGUGUACGUACAAGCAGUGGGAGCCUCUUAAUGGGGUGACUGCGUACCUUUUGUAUAAUGGGUCAGCGACUUAUAUUCUGUAGCAAGGUUAACCGAAUAGGGGAGCCGAAGGGAAACCGAGUCUUAACUGGGCGUUAAGUUGCAGGGUAUAGACCCGAAACCCGGUGAUCUAGCCAUGGGCAGGUUGAAGGUUGGGUAACACUAACUGGAGGACCGAACCGACUAAUGUUGAAAAAUUAGCGGAUGACUUGUGGCUGGGGGUGAAAGGCCAAUCAAACCGGGAGAUAGCUGGUUCUCCCCGAAAGCUAUUUAGGUAGCGCCUCGUGAAUUCAUCUCCGGGGGUAGAGCACUGUUUCGGCAAGGGGGUCAUCCCGACUUACCAACCCGAUGCAAACUGCGAAUACCGGAGAAUGUUAUCACGGGAGACACACGGCGGGUGCUAACGUCCGUCGUGAAGAGGGAAACAACCCAGACCGCCAGCUAAGGUCCCAAAGUCAUGGUUAAGUGGGAAACGAUGUGGGAAGGCCCAGACAGCCAGGAUGUUGGCUUAGAAGCAGCCAUCAUUUAAAGAAAGCGUAAUAGCUCACUGGUCGAGUCGGCCUGCGCGGAAGAUGUAACGGGGCUAAACCAUGCACCGAAGCUGCGGCAGCGACACUAUGUGUUGUUGGGUAGGGGAGCGUUCUGUAAGCCUGUGAAGGUG
Molecule: ribosomal RNA, 1215 nt
Filed under: Escherichia coli
Lineage: Bacteria; Pseudomonadati; Pseudomonadota; Gammaproteobacteria; Enterobacterales; Enterobacteriaceae
Description: partial 23S ribosomal RNA
Rfam family: Bacterial large subunit ribosomal RNA
Source: RNAcentral